This 517-nucleotide ribosomal RNA is filed under the name uncultured bacterium. RNAcentral's name for it is "bacterial SSU rRNA". It matches the Rfam family "Bacterial small subunit ribosomal RNA", at positions 8 to 507 of the family's 1533-position model. The record is from RNAcentral.
AGAGUUUGAUCAUGGCUCAGGACGAACGCUGGCGGCGUGCCUAAUACAUGCAAGUCGAACGAACCAUAACUUGAACUUGUUCUGGUUAAGGUUAGUGGCGCACGGGUGAGUAACACGUGGGGAACCUGCCCUUUAUGGGGGAUAACAGUCGGAAACGACUGCUAAUACCGCAUAGACAACUUAACCGCCUGGUUAAGUUGGGAAAGGUGCUACGACAUCAUUAAAGGAUGGCCCCGCGGUGCAUUAGCUAGUUGGUAAGGUAACGGCUUACCAAGGCGAUGAUGCAUAGCCGACCUGAGAGGGUGAUCGGCCACACUGGGACUGAGACACGGCCCAAACUCCUACGGGAGGCAGCAGUAGGGAAUCUUCCGCAAUGGACGCAAGUCUGACGGAGCAACGCCGCGUGUGUGAAGAAGGUUUUCGGAUCGUAAAGCACUGUUGUUAGAGAAGAACGGCUACUAGAGGAAAUGUUAGUAGAUUGACGGUAUCUAACCAGGAAGCCACGGCUAACUACGUG